UGGUUUCAUGUAGAAACGCUGUUGCUAUUGUUUUUGUAGAAUUAUAUGGAAGUUUGGUAGGUUUAAGGCGUGCGAACGUCUUUUUAAUCGAUCGUUUAUGAUCGCAUCAGACGUUAUAAUAUGUCAUUACCGUGGAUUUUCGUGCAUUUGUGUGUAACAUUUAUCCGACAUCGAAACAUAUAUAUAUCGAUAUAUGCAUAAAGUUGCGCGGUCUUAUUAUUACCGAUAAUAUAUUAAAAUUACAGGUUGAAUUUUAUAAUUUUUACAAAAAAUUGAUACGUUGUAAUUUCGUGUUUCGUUGGAAAUUCUCUCGUUGGCUUUACGAUGUGAUCGAAUUUAUUUCCGGAACUGAUCCGACAAUUAAAUAUUGUUGCAAGGAUUUCUAGCGAACGAAUUAAUUAUAUUUUUACUUCGUCCUUUUUGGUGUUGAGAUUUUCAAUAGUUUCUUCCGAGUGUCUUUGGAAAAGGAAGGAACGAAUUUGUGUAAGCGUCAACUCGACAAUCCGAUUACCAGAAUACCAAAUUUUUACGCUAACAUUAACAUUAACUUGACAUUUGCAUCCCUCUUAUCGUGACUCUCUCGGGUUUGUAAUUUAAAAGUAAACAUGACAUUGAUCAAGACAAGCCAUUUAGCAAAAGGUUGCGUUAUCGUGGGCCGCUCAAACACUUGUUUCCCUUGUUAAAAUCGUUACUUUGUAUUUAUUCUUUGUAAUUAUCCCUGUAAUAUUUCGCAAGCCCGUAAUUAGUCGCACAACGAUAAAUUUUUAUCGUCUUGUGUAAAUAUUAAAUAAGCGGAAAACGAACAACGAAGAAAAUCGGUUUUUUCAAAUCUUCGACCGUCUCUUUCUUUCGCUGUUUCGAUAUUUAUUUUUUCGUUAAAAAGAACAAGAAUAUAGUUGAUCUCAGCAACGUAAAUUGCAUUAGCAAACGAAAAACUUGUUCUAUUUGCUUCGAUCUGCCUCUUGAGCAGCGAAGAUUACACAGAAUUAAUAUGACAUUGUGAAUUAAUAUGAAUUAAUGAAUAAAUCGAACAUGAUUUUUUCACAUACCGAUCGAAACGACGGUCGUAAAAUCAUGUUAAAUCAACGUGACGAUCGUAACGUCACAAGAGAUGAUAAGAUUGAUGAAUUGCGUUAUCUCAAGAUCGUAAAAUGACAGAAACAGGGAAGCAAGUUAACCAUAAAUGUCAAAUGUUAACCAAAUAGUCAAAUGGAUUUCAUAAGAUUUUCUUUGAAGUGUUAAUAGAAAAUUAAAAUGCAUUCAUUUGGAAUUAAGAUUGGUCAUUAUGACGUGUAACAAAAUUGUUCUCGUCGCCGACCUUUAUUCGCACUACGUCAAUCGAAGAUAUAAUAAAAAAAGGAAGGCGGACAAGAAAAAUGAUAAUGUAUUCGUGCCGAUAGAAAACACGCAACAAUUUACAUACACACUAGCGUCCAUAUUACUUGUGUCAGUGAUGAAAGUAUUGCACACGUUUCACAGCACUUAACCAGCAUUCACUUUCCUACGUAGAUGAUAAUCUUGCUGAGAUUCUGUGAUAAAUUGUACAACAAAAUUUAAAAUACUUAUCCCGCGCGAAAACUCCUUACAGCUGGAUCUUUUUCGAAAAACUAAAUGCUGACCAAGGUAUUCCUCGAUAGACCAUCCCGAUGCUAGACAAUUCUCUUUGUGUUCAUCGCACGUGUUCGGUUUACAAAUGCGCCAGCGGUUUCUCUGCGACCAUGGCACGUUCGUUACGCGCGCACAGUUACAUCAGAAUCAUACAACAUUUUCCUAGCCAGUUUCCCGUGAUCGUACUAUUACGUUGUUGUCGAGUUUCGAACCAAAGAUCGACACUUGUUCUGUUGCUUUGCGAAUAAUAAUUAGCCGAAAAAUUGAUUUUAGUUUAAAUGCGACGUAAAGUACGAUACUUGUGAAAUUUAUUAAACGCGCUCUAACACCUGAAGGUGAAUUUCAUAGUACAUUAUUACACGAUCAAAUUCAGUUUUAAAUGUUAACAUGCAAUAAGAAGUUAGUAUGCUAUAGUGAAGAUGCAAGCAAGAUGUAAACAUUGUGCAGCAAUUUUGUGAAAAAUGUCUUGAGAUUUCUAUGUACAUUUUCGGUUUCGUUUGAAAUCUUGUGAAUGUGAUUACGAUAAUCGUGUCUCAUUAUGAUGUUAGCGAGGACUCAUAAUAUUUUGUACGAUACAUGUAAUAAAUUCAUCAAAGAUU
Molecule: long non-coding RNA, 2207 nt
Organism: Bombus terrestris (buff-tailed bumblebee)
Lineage: Eukaryota; Metazoa; Arthropoda; Insecta; Hymenoptera; Apidae
Exons: 2
Source: RefSeq, a predicted model, not a curated record